RNAcentral lists this ribosomal RNA (388 nucleotides) under uncultured bacterium. Its description in RNAcentral is "bacterial SSU rRNA". It matches the Rfam family "Bacterial small subunit ribosomal RNA", at positions 28 to 417 of the family's 1533-position model. The record is from RNAcentral.
GACGAACGCUGGCGGCGUGCUUAACACAUGCAAGUCGAGCGGUAAGGCCCUUUCGGGGGUACACGAGCGGCGAACGGGUGAGUAACACGUGGGUGACCUGCCCUCAGCUCUGGGAUAAGCCUGGGAAACCGGGUCUAAUACCGGAUAUGACUCCAUGACGCAUGUUGUGGGGUGGAAAGCCUUGUGCGGCUGAGGAUGGGCCCGCGGCCUAUCAGCUUGUUGGUGGGGUGANGGCCUACCAAGGCGGCGACGGGUAGCCGGCCUGAGAGGGCGACCGGCCACACUGGGACUGAGACACGGCCCAGACUCCUACGGGAGGCAGCAGUGGGGAAUCUUGCGCAAUGGGCGAAAGCCUGACGCAGCGACGCCGCGUGAGGGAUGACGGCCU